This 91-nucleotide non-coding RNA is filed under the name Ralstonia pickettii OR214. Lineage: Bacteria; Pseudomonadati; Pseudomonadota; Betaproteobacteria; Burkholderiales; Burkholderiaceae. The record is from RNAcentral.
UUCUAUGGCGGGCCGGGUGGGGAGACCUUCGGGUCUACCGGUUUUCUCGGAGAGCCGGAUCGCUAACCCCAUCGUCGGGCCCGCCUCCCUC